GCCCUGGGACGACCCGGGGUCCAACGCUACAUCCGGGGACGGCCCCC
This 47-nucleotide non-coding RNA is filed under the name Bordetella hinzii. RNAcentral describes it as "Guanidine-II sequence". It matches the Rfam family "Guanidine-II riboswitch aptamer (mini-ykkC)". Rfam says of the family: Simpler in structure and has fewer highly conserved nucleotide positions than the ykkC-yxkD leader. The record is from Rfam by way of RNAcentral. Lineage: Bacteria; Pseudomonadati; Pseudomonadota; Betaproteobacteria; Burkholderiales; Alcaligenaceae.